CCGCCAGUCGGCGCUCCCGCAGCUGCCCUGCGACCCCAGGCGGGGGCGGGUCGGCCGGCCCGAUCCUGCCCGCGGCUUCCCGGAACAAUAAGCACCGGACCCCGAGUGGCGGCGCCGCCGCGACCCCUCCCUCGGGCCCACCAAGGCGGCUGGGGGCUGAGGCGUGACCCGGCCUAGUCCCAGGCUGUUGGCUGGCGACGUCGGGGGAACGGCCCGAGCCCGCCGGGACUCUACCCUUCCUACCCCGCCGCCAGGGAAGACCUGCCCGCCCGGAGCAGAGGAGUCCGCGGCGGCGGCGCCGAGGGCCCCUCCCCCGGGCCUCCGAGGUCUGAGGUACCGCGCUCGCCGCGCCUCCCGAGCCUCUCGCCCUUCUCUUUAUUUCUCCUCCUCGCUUUCUGUCCCCCUUGCCUCUUCAUCUCACCCCUCAGCAGCUACGGAAACGGAGCCAGGCCCGGGAUUCGCCCGGAGGCCGAGCUCCCGGGAUGCCCCCUCCUCCUUCCCGCCUCCCUCUGGGUCUUCUGCCCCCACCCCAACUCUGCAACGCCACAGCGCCGGUCUUCCGCGGGGUUCUUAAGGCCUCGGAGCAGACGUCCUUGUCGAAGGCUGUCGAUCACUUUCCUGCGAAAAUGACGAGAAACUCUAAAGUGUUCACAUUUUAUUUUCCUGUCCAGACUAGAUUAUUGAGCAGCUGAUAAGCUAUUGGCAUCCAGGGGGAAAAGGAAUCAUUGGAGCACCAAGGAGGCUUCAGAGAAUCACUAAAGCUCUAUUUCUUAAACUAGGUGUAAUCACCACACCCAACAUGGAACUUGAGCUCACAACGACAAGAUCCAGAGUGGUAUGAUCCAGAUAUGAUAUGCUGACUGAGGCAGCCAGGCGCCCCUAGAAACUAAAUAAACUUCGAGUAAUC
Callorhinus ursinus (northern fur seal) is the source of this 907-nucleotide long non-coding RNA. RefSeq lists it as uncharacterized. Lineage: Eukaryota; Metazoa; Chordata; Mammalia; Carnivora; Otariidae. The record is from RefSeq and is a predicted model, not a curated record.